This 1265-nucleotide long non-coding RNA is filed under the name Capsella rubella. RNAcentral describes it as "long non-coding RNA (CRUB_LNC003158)". Lineage: Eukaryota; Viridiplantae; Streptophyta; Magnoliopsida; Brassicales; Brassicaceae. The record is from RNAcentral.
AGAAUGAUUGAAGAUGUGAACAGAAGUGAGACAACCGAUGACGGGCUAAGACAAUCGUCUGAUGACCCGUCGAAAGGAUCAGAAGGUCAGACUCCUCCUGGAGAAUCAAGGACACCACCACGGUCAGUCACACCUUAGUAAUUGAAUUGAAGUGCAACAAGAAAACAAAACAGGGGAAAGCAGCUUUAAUUGUUUGUGUUUGUGUUUACUUUUUUUUCUUUAAAACUCCUCAAAAGGAGAUAAAGAAAGGGAUGAGAUAGUGUGUGAGAUGUCUUUGUUGGGUGUGUGAUGGUAAAGCAAAGAAAAAAGACUGGACCAUCUCUGUGUUUGGUUGGACCAACUUCUUCUACAAGAUGGUAUCUCCCAUCUAUUUUUUUUUAGUCUUUCGAGAUAUUCUAGUGGUUAUUAUUUUUUUUCUUGAAUAUUGUGUUUACAUUACAGGUUUAAAUGAAAGUUCAGUCUAACUUCGUUGGAGUUUUAUGACAUUUUUACUAUACCCACUUCAAUCAAAGAUUUUAUAAAAGCUCACUCUUUGUAUGGUUUUUAGUUUCUUGGAAAGGUCUUAACUUUGAUUUAAUUAAUUAUUAUGAACUCUUAUGAAUGGUUUUUGUUUUACUCCUCCAGUAUUGAACCUCAUUAGGGUUCUUAAAAAUAAAACUCAUAAUAAUAAUCCAAAAUUCGUAUUCAAUCAUGGUUAACUGCAACAACAGAGACUGCUUAUUGAAUAAGUUUAUCUUAAUUUCGAUUACAAUUACAAAACCCUAAUUUUCAUAACUCAAUCAAUCCUAAUUUUGUACUUCUAAACAUCUAAUUUAACAAGAUCGAGAAAGAAUAUUAACUAGAUUCUUACAUUCAUGAAGAGAUUGGAGAAGCUAAAUCAAAUUCGGAUCCGAUUUUGACUUCAGUUGAUCCGAUGUCGUGAAACAAACUCGCCACUUAACCCAACUUAGCCGACGUUUUACAACCACUGUAGAGAUGCUGAGACGGUGAAACGGCGAACAACUAGCCCUCAUCCAUCGUUCAUCGGCGGUGGCGGAGCUGAUCUACUGAGCCAAAAUCGCCUUUUCAGUCACCCACCGAAAAAAACAAAGAAGAAGAAGAAAUGUCGUGAGAGAGAGAAAGUCGAUCAGUGUUGAUUUUUUUUUUUUAGCUCUACAGUUCACACCCAAUUAGAAUGUGCCACGUCAUCCCGACGAACCGCUCCUUAAACUCCUUAUUUGUGAAACGCCUCUUACUUUAAUCUUUCUUUUUUAUUUAAAUUAAUU